UGGGGAAUAUUGCACAAUGGGGGAAACCCUGAUGCAGCGACGCCGCGUGGAGGAAGAAGGUCUUCGGAUUGUAAACUCCUGUUGUUGAGGAAGAUAAUGACGGUACUCAACAAGGAAGUGACGGCUAACUACGUGCCAGCAGCCGCGGUAAAACGUAGGUCACAAGCGUUGUCCGGAAUUACUGGGUGUAAAGGGAGCGCAGGCGGGAAGACAAGUUGGAAGUGAAAUCCAUGGGCUCAACCCAUGAACUGCUUUCAAAACUGUUUUUCUUGAGUAGUGCAGAGGUAGGCGGAAUUCCCGGUGUAGCGGUGGAAUGCGUAGAUAUCGGGAGGAACACCAGUGGCGAAGGCGGCCUACUGGGCACCAACUGACGCUGAGGCUCGAAAGUGUGGGUAGCAAACAGGAUUAGAUACCCUGGUAGUCCACACUGUAAACGAUGAUUACUAGGUGUUGGAGGAUUGACCCCUUCAGUGCCGCAGUUAACACAAUAAGUAAUCCACCUGGGGAGUACGACCGCAAGGUUGAAACUCAAAGGAAUUGACGGGGGCCCGCACAAGCAGUGGAGUAUGUGGUUUAAUUCGACGCAACGCGAAGAACCUUACCAAGUCUUGACAUCCCUUGACGAUGCUGGAAACAGUAUUUCUCUUCGGAGCAAGGAGACAGGUGGUGCAUGGUUGUCGUCAGCUCGUGUCGUGAGAUGUUGGGUUAAGUCCCGCAACGAGCGCAACCCUUAUGGUCAGUUACUACGCAAGAGGACUCUGGCCAGACUGCCGUUGACAAAACGGAGGAAGGUGGGGAUGACGUCAAAUCAUCAUGCCCUUUAUGACCUGGGCUACACACGUACUACAAUGGCCAUUAACAGAGGGAAGCAAAACCGCGAGGCAGAGCAAACCCCUAAAAAUGGUCCCAGUUCGGAUUGUAGGCUGCAACCCGCCUACAUGAAGUUGGAAUUGCUAGUAAUCGCGGAUCAGCAUGCCGCGGUGAAUACGUUCCC
This 994-nucleotide ribosomal RNA is filed under the name uncultured bacterium. Its description in RNAcentral is "bacterial SSU rRNA". It matches the Rfam family "Bacterial small subunit ribosomal RNA", at positions 355 to 1375 of the family's 1533-position model. The record is from RNAcentral.